Molecule: ribosomal RNA, 440 nt
Filed under: uncultured bacterium
Lineage: Bacteria
Description: partial 16S ribosomal RNA
Rfam family: Bacterial small subunit ribosomal RNA
Source: RNAcentral
CCUACGUGAGGCAGCAGUGGGGAAUAUUGCACAAUGGGGGAAACCCUGAUGCAGCGACGCCGCGUGAGUGAAGAAGUAAUUCGUUAUGUAAAGCUCUAUCAGCAGGGAAGAAAAUGACGGUACCUGAGUAAGAAGCCCCGGCUAACUACGUGCCAGCAGCCGCGGUAAUACGUAGGGGGCAAGCGUUAUCCGGAUUUACUGGGUGUAAAGGGAGCGUAGACGGCAGUGCAAGUCUGGAGUGAAAGGCGGGGGCUCAACCCCCGGCCUGCUCUGGAAACUGUACGGCUGGAGUGCAGUAGAGGUAAGUGGAAUGCCUAGUGUAGCGGUGAAAUGCGUAGAUAUUAGGAGGAACACCAGUGGCGAAGGCGGCUUACUGGACUGUAACUGACGUUGAGGCUCGAAAGCGUGGGGAGCAAACAGGAUUAGAUACCCCAGUAGUC